AACGAACGCUGGCGGCGUGGAUAAGACAUGCAAGUCGAACGAGAGAAUUGCUAGCUUGCUAAUAAUUCUCUAGUGGCGCACGGGUGAGUAACACGUGAGUAACCUGCCCCCGAGAGCGGGAUAGCCCUGGGAAACUGGGAUUAAUACCGCAUAGUAUCGAAAGAUUAAAGCAGCAAUGCGCUUGGGGAUGGGCUCGCGGCCUAUUAGUUAGUUGGUGAGGUAACGGCUCACCAAGGCGAUGACGGGUAGCCGGUCUGAGAGGAUGUCCGGCCACACUGGAACUGAGACACGGUCCAGACACCUACGGGUGGCAGCAGUCGAGAAUCAUUCACAGUGGGGGAAACCCUGAUGGUGUGACGCCGCGUGGGGGAAUGAAGGUCUUCGGAUUGUAAACCCCUGUCAUGUGGGAGCAAAUUAAAAAGAUAGUACCACAAGAGGAAGAGACGGCUAACUCUGUGCCAGCAGCCGCGGUAAUACAGAGGUCUCAAGCGUUGUUCGGAAUCACUGGGCGUAAAGCGUGCGUAGGCUGUUUCGUAAGUCGUGUGUGAAAGGCGCGGGCUCAACCCGCGGACGGCACAUGAUACUGCGAGACUAGAGUAAUGGAGGGGGAACCGGAAUUCUCGGUGUAGCAGUGAAAUGCGUAGAUAUCGAGAGGAACACUCGUGGCGAAGGCGGGUUCCUGGACAUUAACUGACGCUGAGGCACGAAGGCCAGGGGAGCGAAAGGGAUUAGAUACCCCUGUAGUCCUGGCAGUAAACGGUGCACGCUUGGUGUGCGGAGAAUCGACCCCCUGCGUGCCGGAGCUAACGCGUUAAGCGUGCCGCCUGGGGAGUACGGUCGCAAGAUUAAAACUCAAAGAAAUUGACGGGGACCCGCACAAGCGGUGGAGUAUGUGGCUUAAUUCGAUGCAACGCGAAGAACCUUACCUGGGCUUGACAUGUAAUGAACAACAUGUGAAAGCAUGCGACUCUUCGGAGGCGUUACACAGGUGCUGCAUGGCCGUCGUCAGCUCGUGUCGUGAGAUGUUUGGUUAAGUCCAGCAACGAGCGCAACCCCUGUUGCCAGUUACCAGCACGUGAAGGUGGGGACUCUGGCGAGACUGCCCAGAUCAACUGGGAGGAAGGUGGGGACGACGUCAGGUCAGUAUGGCCCUUAUGCCCAGGGCUGCACACGUACUACAAUGCCCAGUACAGAGGGGGCCGAAGCCGCGAGGCGGAGGAAAUCCUAAAAACUGGGCCCAGUUCGGACUGUAGGCUGCAACCCGCCUACACGAAGCCGGAAUCGCUAGUAAUGGCGCAUCAGCUACGGCGCCGUGAAUACGUUCCCGGGUCU
This 1332-nucleotide ribosomal RNA is filed under the name uncultured bacterium. RNAcentral describes it as "bacterial SSU rRNA". It matches the Rfam family "Bacterial small subunit ribosomal RNA", at positions 28 to 1381 of the family's 1533-position model. The record is from RNAcentral.